Molecule: long non-coding RNA, 508 nt
Filed under: Gallus gallus (chicken)
Lineage: Eukaryota; Metazoa; Chordata; Aves; Galliformes; Phasianidae
Source: RNAcentral
GGAGUAAGCAACGGUUGUUUGGGGUUUAUUAAAGAUUGGGAAUACAAGGGUGGGCCCUACUGCAGAGCCGGGUGCCAGAAGCAGGGCUGGGUUUGGCUGGUCACGUGCGGUCUCCUCUCCAGGCAGCCCUCAGUGGCCAAAUUUCCUAUGGAGCAGCAUCCAACCUCCCGCCCUGCAGCUCCUUCUGGAGCAGAGCCCCUCUCCGCACCAGCCCCAUCCUGGGUUACUUGUUGCUUUAACGUGCUAUUUGAUUACAGAGUGAUGAAGGACGAGAAGGCAUGUCUGUUGCGGUGGAUUUGUGCUGUCUUCGGGCUGCAUAGGGAGCUCUGCCCAUCAGGCCUGAACUCUACUUGAACGUGUGGCUCUCAGCUCCUCCCCGGCCAAACCCUUUGGGUCCGAACAAGGCAGCGUAGCAGGGGUGGUUGCAGUAGGGCUUGCCAUCGUGCUCUGCGUGCCCCCCAGAUGUCAGGGUCUUGUUACACUUCUCACAUCGCAGGCAGGGCCGGUG